GACAGAGGCCUCAAGCGUUAGGCGGAAUCACUGGGCUUAAAGCGUGUGUAGGCGGAUCGUUAAGUGUCUUGUGAAAUCCCACGGCUCACCCGUGGAACUGCUGGGCAUACUGGCGAUCUUGGGCCAACUAGGGGCAACUGGAACAAGCGGUGGAGCGGUGAAAUGCGUAGAUAUCGCUUGGAACGCCGAAGGUGAAAACAGGUUGCUGGGGUUGUGCCGACGCUGAGACACGAAAGCCAGGGGAGCGAAACGGG
RNAcentral lists this ribosomal RNA (254 nucleotides) under uncultured bacterium. RNAcentral's name for it is "partial 16S ribosomal RNA". It matches the Rfam family "Bacterial small subunit ribosomal RNA", at positions 524 to 777 of the family's 1533-position model. The record is from RNAcentral.